RNAcentral lists this ribosomal RNA (468 nucleotides) under uncultured bacterium. RNAcentral describes it as "partial 16S ribosomal RNA". It matches the Rfam family "Bacterial small subunit ribosomal RNA", at positions 28 to 507 of the family's 1533-position model. The record is from RNAcentral.
GACGAACGCUGGCGGCGUGCUUAACACAUGCAAGUCGAACGGGAAGGCCCUGCUUUUGUGGGGUGCUCGAGUGGCGAACGGGUGAGUAACACGUGAGUAACCUACCCUUGACUUUGGGAUAACUUCAGGAAACUUGGGCUAAUACCGGAUAAGAGCUACUGCUGCAUGGUGGGGGUUGGAAAGUUUCGGCGGUUGGGGAUGGAAUCGCGGCUUAUCAGCUUGUUGGUGGGGUAGUGGCUUACCAAGGCUUUGACGGGUAGCAGGCCUGGGAGGGUGACCUGCCACACUGCGACUGGGAUACGGCCCAGACUCCAACGGUAGGCAGCAGUGGAGAAUAUUGCAUAAUGGGCUGAAGCCUGAUGCAGCACCGCCGUGCCGGGGAUGACGGGCUUCGCGUAGUAAACCGCUUUCGCCUGUGACGAAGCGUGAGUGACGGUAAUGGGUAAAGAAGCACCGGCUAACUACGUG